Syzygium oleosum is the source of this 1006-nucleotide long non-coding RNA. RefSeq lists it as uncharacterized. The transcript is spliced from 5 exons. Lineage: Eukaryota; Viridiplantae; Streptophyta; Magnoliopsida; Myrtales; Myrtaceae. The record is from RefSeq and is a predicted model, not a curated record.
UUAUUGCUUGCUGAAUAUUAUUAAUCCGUUUGGGCACAAGGUCCUGCACCAUCCGGAGAAUUCCAGGAAGUUGAAGGUGAAAGUGAAGAAAGAAGAAGAUCCAGACUGGAACGCAAUCAGAGAACGCAAGAAAGAGCGGCCAAAGCACUUGCUGAGAAAAAUCAGCGUGAUCUUCAGACUCUAAAGGAACAGGAAGAGAGACAUAGGAUUGCUGAAACACUGGAUAUUGAGAUAAAGCGCCGGGCUGCUGGAAAAGAGGGGAACUUGCGUGCUCUGCUAUCCACUUUGCAAUAUGUGCUCUGGCCUGAAUGUGGUUGGGAACCUGUUUCUAUGACGGAUUUGAUUGCUGCUGCUUCAGUUAAAAAAGGUCUAUAGGAAGGCAACUUUGUGUAUUCAUCCUGACAAGGUGCAGCAAAAAGGUGCCAAUCUUCAGCAGAAAUAUAUUGCUGAGAAGGUUAUUGACCUCCUUAAGGAAGCUUGGAACAAAUUUAAUUCAGAGGAGCUCUUUUGAAUUUUUGAGACAACCUUUCAGCUUCAAGCUAUUUUAAGCAAGCGUACCAUUUCUUUCCUUGGCGGAUACUCCUGGAGGACAAUGAAUGUCUGAGGAAUAUAAUCUUGCCAAUAUUGCACCCAUUUUGAAAUACAGUAUAUUUAAGGAAAUUUAUCCUCAGAAGCUGCCGAAACCGUUCUCCUCAUAGCCAAUGAUUUACUCAGGGUUACCAAACAAGUACAUUCACUCAGGGACUAUAAGGAUCUUGGUGAUCCUUAUGUUGUAGGUUACGGAAUGGAAGAUCCUGUGGUCGCGCCUGCAAUGAAUUCCCUCCGCAUUGUCUGAGUGAGGAGGCUCAAACGCAUUGCCUUUUGGAAUCCCCCACCCAGCAAAUAUAAUAGCAUUGCGUAUACAUCUCAUGGAAUUGGAACAUUAACAUCCAUACCAGAUUGCUGGUAUACUUGUGAGAGAUUUUUAGCAUGGGUAAAUUGUCGAUAUUCCCCUUUGAGGUUUUUA